RNAcentral lists this long non-coding RNA (372 nucleotides) under Physcomitrium patens. RNAcentral describes it as "long non-coding RNA (PPAT_LNC001998)". Lineage: Eukaryota; Viridiplantae; Streptophyta; Bryopsida; Funariales; Funariaceae. The record is from RNAcentral.
GCAAUUGAGGAUCGGCGACUGCGACUGGAGAGAGCACUUUUGCGGCUAUACUUUUUGCAUACUACUUACUGGAUUCUAAGUUGGGAUGAAGGAGUUAUUGGAUUUUGAAGUCAGCACAUGCAAUCUAAGGGUAGUAAGUAAACCGAUUUACUAAUGUUUGUCUCUUGAGCUAUAUCUUGAGCAAUUUGACAAGGUUUUGGCUCAAAAUUUCAAGAGAUGUAUAAUUUCAUGUUAGUAAACUUUGUACAUAAGUUUUAUGACAUUUGGAGUUCGGGUUUUUGAGUUAUAAGGAAAAUAUUUUUUCGGGUGCUUGUAAAUUAGGGUUUGGAGUGUUUGCUAGGAUUUCUUAGAUGCCAGAAGAUCGGGAGUGAA